CUUACCUGCUGCCGUUGCUUCUUCUUCUUCAACUACAAAGGUCCACUCCUCCCAGUUGGGCAUAUACCCGAUGGACAAAAUUUCAAGCUUGGGGAAAGCAACUGCCUCUGGAGAUCCGAAAUUACCCACCCCCAAGCCAAUAAAUUCAGGUCCAAUCUUGGUGACUGCAGUUGCUCCCUGGAUUCUCAGGAAUUUCAAGUUGGGAAGGUGCCCGAUUGGAGGAAGUUGCGUAUAGGAUUUGCAAUGUUUAAGUAUCAAGUAUUUUAGUGAAGGCAAAUGUCUAGCAGCACCUAACCAGGUAGGAAACCUCCGACCACAAAAUCGCUUCAAAACUAGAGCUUCCAGGUUUUUUGGAGGUAUUAGCUGAUCAAAUACCUUCUCAAUAUUACUAAUAACCUCUUCAGAGUAUGGUUCCUCCGCACAUUCAGUGCAAUAUAAAUAUAAUUCUUUAAGAUGCUUUUUAUUAGUUAGUAGUGAAUCUAUACUGCAAACAGCAGAUGCUUCCAAUUUUGUAAUAAGAAGCUGCCUCAACUGCAAAAGAGGACCCAACUCUUCUAGAUUCCAUCCAUCUUGCAUUGCAGUGCUAUAAUCACUUCUACCACAAAUUGGAAAUCCAUCUAAAUUAUUGAGGUAUUUCAAACCCCCAAUACCUUUUGGAACCUUAUUUAUUGCCGAACCUUUGAGACCAAGACUCCUUAAGUUAAAUAAUCUACAGAUUGCUAAAGGAAGGCUGUGCAAACUGUCACACUUGUUCAAUUCCAAUACCUCAAGGUUUUUGAGAGAACCAAUAGACUCCGGAAGGCAAGUUAUGCUGGUGUCAUUAAGAUUCAACAAGCGCAAAUGAAUCAAACUUCCAAUAUAAUCUGGAAUAUUUUCUACACUUGACCCACUUAAAUCCAAAACACGAAUAUAUGGAAAUCGCUUGAAAAUUGAAGAUUCAACUACCAAUGACUUGCCACAGAAAUUUAUUGAAGUUCUCACUUUGAGUUGAUGCCUGUCCACAAUAGGUAAAGAGAUCAUAUCAUUGCAUGUUACAACUGACACACGUCGCAAUUUAGAUAUACUCCUGCAAUCCAACGAUCGUGGGUCUCCAAAGAAACACUCUUCUCUUGAUAAAUGCUGAGCAAGUUGUCUUAAGAGGUCAUGCAUUGUGCACCUGUAUGGUUCUGCAUACCGAGGAUCUGGUAGGAGGAGGUUCCUUGAGACCAACUCACAGAAGUAUUCUUCUGCUGUAUCUUCUAGUAGUUGGUUAUUUUGCUUUUCAAUAAAGCCCUCGGCAAUCCAGAGCCUGACAAGAUCAUCACAACGUAGUGUCCAAUCUUCAGGAUACAAAGCACAGUAAAGAAAACAUUGCUUCAGGUUUUGUGGUAGCUGAUCAUAACUCAAGUACAAAGCACCUCUGAGUUCAGCAGGGAGCUUACUUAUGGACCAAGCAUCAUUGUCUAGAAUCUUCUGCCAUUCACUCUCUGUUGUCUCCUUCACUGCAAGAACACUAGCCAUAGUCCUAAUUGCAAGAGGAAGGCCACCACAUUUUCGAACAAUUUCCAUUCCUUUGUCCUGCACGUUGUGCACUUCUUUCUCAUCAGAUAUGUUCAUACUCUUCCAAAGCAGCUCCCAUCCUACUUCCACUGACAUCAAUUCGACUCGAUGCAUGUGUUCCACUCCAAUUGCCUUUGCAACUGUAUCAUGUCGAGUUGUUGUUACAAUUGUUACUUGAGCUGCAGCAUUGAGUGGAGUUCUUAGUAAAUUGGUCCAUACAUCAGACUCCCACAAGUCAUCCAACACAAGGAAAAAGCUGUCUCCUUCAAUGGCUUCUGCAAGUUUGGCUUGAAGCUCUCCGAUGCUUUCACAAUUUUCUUUGUCCACUCCAACAUUUCGAAGUAUUUCAUUCAAUAGAGCAACUUGAGAGUACUGUUGGGAAACGCAAAUCCAUGCAUACUUCUUAAAGUUACCCUUCACUCUUUGAUCAUUGUAUAUUUUCUGAGCUAGUGUUGUUUUUCCAACUCCUCCUGUUCCAACAAUUGCCAUCUUGUAAGCCUUCUUGUCCUUGUGUUCUAGCACCAACCCUACCAAUCUAUUGGUAGCAUGUAUGAUCUCUUUUCCAACAAGAUUUGGUUCUACCAGGUGGGAUGUUUUUCUCAUAUUUGAUACUAAUACUCUAUCAAUAGGUUCUGUUUCAAACUUGAAAUUUGUACCUAACUCUUUAAUCAUCUCUAUUCUUUUGUUGAGGCCUCUAAUCUGUACCGCAAUCUCAUGACGUGUCUUUAGAUUCAAAAAGCAAGAGAAAGUUGCAAAUCCAUUGCAUGUAAUUAAUUUUCUUGAUAAUGAUGAAGAGUUUUCUCCUAGUAGAUUGCUCCCUUUAAACCUGACCAUGUCAAUUAUAUCAUCAGCAUCAUACAUUGCAUCCUUCAGCUCACCAAUCCAAUUACUAACUGCUAAGUCUUCAAUCCUCCUCCGGUCAGCAUCUUUCAGAAAACACUGUAUUUGUGUCAUUGUUCGUUGCAGGUCACUAAGCUCUUGUUUAACACCUAGUAUCUGUAUCGCUUCCUCUAUAAUAAGUUCUUGGAGCUUUUGGAUGCAUGAUCCCGCAAAAGAAAAUAAUAUGGUUGCCAUUAGGUGAAUCCCUGAAGCAGACCCACCACCACCAAUAUAUCUUUUCAGAGCUAAGAAAACCAGUAAUAUGAGGGACUAGCUAGUGAGUUUCCUUGAGCAAGCUUUCACAGUGUUAUUCCAUAAACGAUUGAACUUGGACCUGAAAUUUAUAAAGUUUACAGCAGUAUGUCAAAUCCGUACGCACUUGAAAGAUGUACAACACCACAUGCUCCUAUGAGUACUCAUUAUAUUCUGUAAACUACUACUUGACAUAAUCUCACACUGAUUGCGAAGAGAAUAAAGGAUAUGUAAAUGAUGAAAGCACCUAGGAAAAAUUCACACCAUGCACUAUCGGGCAGAUAGACAAAACCAUCUUGGGUGGACUUAGGUGCAUCCAUCCAUGAGUUUUAGACUCCCUUAUGCACUAUGUUCCAGACUAAAACCCAUGUAAUGGAUCUUUGAUUUCCUUUCACACUAGCCAUUUGUGGAUAUUAUUCUUGUUUUUUGUGCAUUUAUAACUUCAUCUACAAUAAGGACUGAUUGCUAUGCAAAUAGGUCUAUCCUGCUAGUAGAUAGCACCUAGCCUUCCGGAACUCAGGCUUCUGCUUGUAGUUGACUGAGUUUACAUGUUUUUGCUUUGACUUGCCAUUAUAUCUGUAUGUGGAAAGUAUACUCCUUAUUUUUUCAGUGUAAUUGUCUCUUGUGUGCACAUUUAUUUCUGACUUAAGCGCUAGUUCCUGCUCAGCUAAAUAGAAAGAUAAACAUCAAAUGACUCAAACUGACUGAUUUGCAUAUUCUAGCAAUGUUUCCUUUCUAGCAACCUAACUGGUCACAUAUUUCCAUGCUCACAUAUUUCCAACCCUCCUCUCAUACUAAAAACAGCUUUAAAUUUUCAAGAGUUGGUCGACUCAUUUAGCUUCUUUCAUCCAUAAAUCUACUCCAGAAAAUCUGACCUUUCAAGUGCUAGUAAUGUUACAUUGCAAGUCAAAAGAAUAUAGGAGGCUGCAGGAUUUCAUUUCCAUGAAUGAGAAAUGGACGUAACUUGUAACAAUUCUUGGAAGAAGUUAGAAGAUUCCAGUGCGCUCAAGUGCACAAGCCUUACCUGAAUCAAAGACCUAUUUUCAACAGGCCUGACUGACAAUAGAAGUCAAGGAUGCAAGAUCAUCCACCAGCAGCAACAACAGUUUGUUUCUGAAGGUCAACUCAAUACUGAAGGAAGAGGAACAAAGACUAAUUGCUCAAAUAAUAUCCCUCAAUGAACUGAACAUCGAUAGCCAAUAUGUGGUCGUCACCAUGAAAGAGUCACGAUUACUCUGCUUGAAAGGGAAAGAAAAAUGGAUAAAACUGAGAAGGGUAGUUGAAUUGAGAAAUAAAGAAUCUCUGGAUAGUACGGACCUUUGUGCACUACCAGAACUGCAAGCAGAUGACCUUAUUCUUCCUUGACUGGAGAAGACCCAGAGGAUCACUUCAAGCAGCAGUGUGAGGCAGUAAAUUCGACAGAAUUCACAAUGGUAUCCCUCGAAAAAAAAAUAUCAACCGACAAUGAUACACGCCUGCAACUGCAACACAAGUUUGUGAGACUACUGACACUUCGUAACUAUGAAUUAAUCUUAAUGGAACACAUUGUGCUAACCAAUUAAUAGGCAGAUACGGAAUGAAGGAAAUACACCUCUUUCAAAGACAGUACUGUCUCCCAAACCAGAUUGCCUCGCAUCCUCCUCUCCUUUUCCUCACUAUAGCAGAGGAAAUGUGAUGAGUAUUUAUCACUUCAAGCAAUUCACCAUAAUGAAAUAGAAACAGAUAAUUAUGAUGAGCCCAUCACCACAAAAAUGAGUAGUACAGUGUGGUAUGAGCUAUAAGGAGUUAGCAUUCUGUCAUUUUAUUUUGUGAUUUAAAACGAUGUAAUAAAUUGGGACAAUAUUUAGUAUCAUGCAAAAGAAACCUCUACUAUGAUUGUUUGAUUCACCAUGAGCAGACUUAUGGUAAUGACGAUGGAAACCAUGAGCAGAGCAAAAAACAUACCCUGAGCAGAGGCAGAGCAAACCAGAGCUAAAGGACGCAAAUCAGCAGAGAGGUAGCUGGAAACUGGAGAGCCAUCACUUCCUGGCUAAAAGCUUCAUCUUCCUUGUGUCACAUGAAUUGUGCAGCUGAAGGAGCAACUACUCUUCAAUCAUCUCUCUAACAGAAAGAAAAAUGAAGUGGUGCAUAAUCAACACAUGCAAAUCAAGCUUGAGCUAGGAGGAGAAAGAUUAUGAAAUCUGAAUCGUUAUGGACUAACUGUUCAAUUCGAGCUUACCAAACUGAAAGGAUAUGAUGCAGAGACAGAGGAGGAGGAUGAAAACGCAAGGAGCAGUUCCUACUGAAGCAUCCUCUCUAUUCCUCCUCUUAUCGGCAUCACUUGAGCAUCGAGAAAAUGAAUUCUCUGGCAGAAAAUAGUGGACAAAGUAUAGAACAGAUAAAUGUGUGACAACCACACAAUCACUGAAAACCAACAGAUCACACGUUAACUCCUGGAAAAAGUGGAGACACUAGAAAAUGAAUUCUCUAGCAGAAAACAAGUGCAUGAUCAACGAAAUGAGAAGAAAUAGGUGCAUGAUGAAGACACGUAUGUGAAGCGUGACUUAGGAAGAGAGAGAGAGGAAAGAAAACAUCCGAACCCUUUAUGGACCAGACAAUCAAUUUGAGCUUACCAAAUUAAACAACGCAGAAACAGAGGAGCCAGUUGAAAACCCAAAUAGCACUUCCUACUCAACCAUCAUCCCUGUUCCUCCUCUUAUUGACAUCACUUGAGCAGCGAGAAAAUGAAAUCGUGCAGGAAGUUUGUAUGUAGAUUCACCAAUACUUCCCCCUUGCAACAGCGUUGGAUCUCAUUGAUCAGAAAAGCUUGGAAUUUCAGUGCAGUGGCAAGUGCAAUGACCUAACCUUGUAUAAGAAGAUGCAGAUAUGUCAUUGUUGAACAGGUCAUCUGUGGUUGGCGUCGGCGGCCGAGCGGGUCAAGGUCUCCGUCCUCUAGCAUGGGGAAGGGGCCAUGUAGCGUCGUCUAGCCAGUGACAUGCAACUGUAACGAUGGCACGUUACACCUAACAAGGGUAUUGAAAUCUGCCUAAUCUCCAUGCCCAGACACAAGGUCAAGGUCUGUGGUAUGGCCAUCGCUGUCAAGUGUGGAAGGUGAUUGACAAACAAUUGCAACGUCCCCUUGUUCAGACAGCAGUACUACACAGGCAGUCUGAACUUGUAUAGGAAUUGUGGCAUUUUCUGGCCCGAUUUUGAAACCCAAAUUGCUGUACGAUGAAAUGAACAAAAGCACUGAACAGUCAGGCCCCUGCAAAUUUUUCCAGGAUAUUUACUUUAUUCAUUCAAUUCCACUUUGCUGAGUGUUUUUUUCUCUUUUGCCGAGGGCCAAAAUUUGCCAAGUGCCUUUGGAUAUUUUUGUCGAGUGUAAGUCUUUGCUAAGUGUUUCCACUAACAACACCGGGCAAACAUACUAACGGAUGUACACGUGGCACGUUCUUUGCCGAGUGUCCAUGCGCGUUUUUGCCUAGUGUCUUUUGAUCUGUUUACCAUGUGUCGCGUUGUUUGCCGAGUGUUUUUGUGUUGACACUCGACAAAUAGCUUCUUUGCCGAGUGCUUGAUAGAAUACACUCGGCAAAGAACUUGGCACUCGGCAAACCCACAAUUUCCAGUAGUUUUGGGAGAGGUUCUUCACGUCAGGGAGCUCAAAAACGUGUCACUUUUUAUCUUUGAAUAAGAAACCUGUGACAUUGAAUGUGGCUUUAAAGAGUAAGCUGCAAAGUGGAAACUGCUUCCGAUAAAAGUAGUUGGAACUCUUUUUUUAAAAAAAAAGCAUUAUGCUGGAAACAUAUAAACAGAAAUGAGUACGAUUUCACCCAUAUUACGUGUAAGUUGCAGGCACCGGCCAAGAUAUGAUUUUAACCUGCAUUUCUUGUCGCUACUACAGAAUGAAUCUGCCUCGCAUUUCUCCUUGGUUGGUUCACAGAAGAUGCAUGACUAAAAUAAGUAAGAGCAGUUUUUUUUAUAUACAUUAAUGUUGGUAGGAACAGCGAAACAAGAGCUCACUUUUCCUAGCAGCAACAGAAAGCACGCAACAGCCGAUGCAGUUCUUCGCAUUACAAGAUCACAAUCUACAACAGGUGCAAGUUCAUCACAGAAUUAAUUGAGAAACUCAAGUAGCAGUGUAGCACACGUUUUCAUUCAUACAUACACCACAAGGAUGGUCAAACACUUAAAUAACAAGACGCAAGCCUUCCCACAGUCUAGAAACAAGAGAGGAAGCCGUCUGCUCAUCUUGAUUAAUUGCUGUGGUUAGCUCAUAUUUUAUUCUUUUUAUUGAUGGAAGUGGUUUGCUCAUCCUGAUUGCUGUGGUUCUUGAACAAUCAUUCUCCAGUCCUUCAUCCAGAAGCAUGCACUCCUUCCAUGCAUACAACGUCAUGUAGCUUCACGACCAAUCACAUGAUUAAGGAAAGAUAGCUCCAGUCACUUCCAAUGGCAAGAAAACAGAGCACGAAUGGAAAGCGGAGGAGAAAUAAAUAUGCAAAAUAUCCAGUGAAUGGUCAUACCUUGCACAUUCGUAGCUAUAUAAAAGUAUCACUCCUCCCAAGGGUAGACAUCCAGGUCUUCUCCGUGCAGCUGUUGGUGACGCUCUUGGAGUCCAGCUAGCCAUUGUGAGGAGACAUCUUCCAUAUCCUCUGUCAGAAACAGCUGGUGCAACUUGUCCAAACCCUCAACACACCUCAGAGCUUCACAUAGACCUACACGCAACAGUUUCAUCUGGGGAAUAUUUGAGAUCCUCUCCAGGCAUUCACAAUAUGAGACUGAAAGUUCCUCAGACAGAAAUGGGAAGUUCUCCACCACCUUAAUAUUGUCCAUGAAUUUUAAUCGGAGCUCCUUCAAGCUGGUGGCUUCCUGUCCAAGCUGCCGUGGAAGAGCUCUCAGCUUGGGGCAGCUGUAAAAAUCCAGGCCCUUCAAACGUGGCAGCAGCUGCAUCCUUGGAGGUGGGGCUUCCCCCUUUUGCUUUGCAGCAGCUCCAUCCUCUCCACCUUCCUUACCUGCUGCCGUUGCUUCUUCUUCUUCAACUACAAAGGUCCACUCCUCCCAGUUGGGCAUAUACCCGAUGGACAACGUUUCAAGCUUGGGGAAAGCAACUGCCUCUGGAGAUCCGAAAUUACCCACCCCCAAGCCAAUAAAUUCAGGUCCAAUCUUGGUGACUGCAGUUGCUCCCUGGAUUCUCAGGAAUUUCAAGUUGGGAAGGUGCCCGAUUGGAGGAAGUUGCGUAUAGGAUUUGCAAUUUUUAAGUAUCAAGUAUUUUAGUGAAGGCAAAUGUCUAGCAGCACCUAACCAGGUAGGAAACCUCCGACCACAAAAUCGCUUGAAACGUAGAGCUUCCAGGUUUUUUGGAGGUAUUAGCUGAUCAAAUACCUUCUCAAUAUUACUAAUAACCUCUUCAGAGUAUGGUUCCUCCGCACAUUCAGUGCAACGUAAAUCUAAUUCUUUAAGAUGCUUUUUAUUAGUUAGUAGAGAAUCUAUACUGCAAAC
RNAcentral lists this long non-coding RNA (8145 nucleotides) under Setaria italica (foxtail millet). RNAcentral's name for it is "long non-coding RNA (SITA_LNC006087)". Lineage: Eukaryota; Viridiplantae; Streptophyta; Magnoliopsida; Poales; Poaceae. The record is from RNAcentral.